RNAcentral lists this long non-coding RNA (632 nucleotides) under Elaeis guineensis (African oil palm). RNAcentral's name for it is "long non-coding RNA (EGUI_LNC037186)". Lineage: Eukaryota; Viridiplantae; Streptophyta; Magnoliopsida; Arecales; Arecaceae. The record is from RNAcentral.
UGAUUAUGUUUUGAUCAUUAUGCACUUUCUGUGCUGGCAAUUUUUGAUAAGCCGAUUCUAUGUUGUUAAUCAAAAUAUGUCGAUUGUAUGUCGGUAGUUGUGGAAGUCCGAAUAGCCAUCGAUCGAUAAUUCUGAUAUGCCGAUGAUUAUCGAUCUAAAAUCAAUCAAAUUGUCAUAGCUAAAAUUUAUUGAUGGUUAAAAUAUAAUCGACUAUCAGUUGAUUAAUCGAUUGAUAGUCGAUAAUUCAUAUUUAUGAGAUCUAUUAAAAAUUGGAUCGGGAGAAUUGGCUGAAUUGCCCCAAUAGAUUGGAUUACUUGGUGCUCGUCGUUGGAGAUAAAAGAGAAGGAUGGCAACGCGCCACAGAGCUGACAGACGGCCACGUGAGGCUCGCUUGCGUGGGAUUGUUUCUUUCUCUCUCCUCCUCUGCCAAAAAUAACCGGAUCUGCUCACUGUACAGAAUGUGGCAGAAACCGGGUUGGUGCCACCACUUUGUCCCGCAUCAAGAGGCGUGGAAAGUUGGAGAGGACAAUGCUUUUCCAUAGAACGUAAGAUUCUUUGCUAUGUUUCCACUGGGAAAAUAUAGUAUUGGAAUAAAUUAGUCCAACUAUAAUCAUUUAACUUACUUUCAGGAA